CUGCCCUUUUCAGACACUGAAUUUGAGCAGAAACCAUAAGGAUACUCAAAGGACCUGUGACUCUCAGGAAAUGCAUCAAAUGAGAGGGACAGAUGAAACAGUUUCAAGACAAUGGCAGGAAAAACAUGCUGAAGAUUGAAACAAACCUUGGCUGGAAAUAUUUGAAGGUAUCUAGCCAGUCCACAAUGAAAGCUUCGUUGCACCCCAUGAGUCUUCUGGCAGAAAUGAUGGCACCUGUAUUCUUUGGUUUCCCUAAACAUCACACCCUGCCUGU
This is a long non-coding RNA of Pelmatolapia mariae (spotted tilapia), 274 nucleotides long. RefSeq lists it as uncharacterized. NCBI's taxonomy places the organism in Eukaryota, Metazoa, Chordata, Actinopteri, Cichliformes, Cichlidae. The record is from RefSeq and is a predicted model, not a curated record. The transcript is spliced from 3 exons.